Non-coding RNA from Pelobates cultripes (western spadefoot toad), 1612 nucleotides. Lineage: Eukaryota; Metazoa; Chordata; Amphibia; Anura; Pelobatidae. The record is from the annotation of a GenBank genome assembly.
CACACUCUGCACUCAUUACAAACACACUACAUUCAUUAUACAUACUCUGUACUCGUUACAAACACACUACAUUCAUUAUAUACAUACUGCACCCAUUAUACACAAUUUGCACUUACUACAAACAAACUACAUUCAUUAUACACACUCUGCACUCAUUACAAACACACUACAUUCACUAUACACACUCUGCACUCACUACACACACACUGCAUUCACUUUACACACUCUGCGUUCAUUAUACACUCUCUGCACUCACUACAAACACACAACAUUCACUACACACACUACAUUCAUUAUACACACUCUGCACUUACUACAAACACUCUUCACUCAUUAUACACACUCUGCACUCAUUACAAACACACUACAUUCAUUAUACACACUCUGCACUCGUUACAAACACACUACAUUCAUUAUACACACUCUGCACUCACCACACACACACUACAUUCAAUAUACACACUGCAUUCAUUAUACACACUCUGCACUCACUACACACACUGCAUUCAUUAUCCAAACUCUGCACUGACUACAAACACAGUACAUUUAUUAUACACACUGCACUCACUACAAACACACUACAUUCACUACACACACUGCAUUCAUUAUACACACUCUGCACUCACUACACACACUGCAUUCAUUAUCCAAACUCUGCACUCACUACAAACACACUACAUUCACUACACACACUGCAUUCAUUAUACACACUCUGCACUCACUACAAACACACUACAUUCAUUAUACACACUCUGCACUUACUAAAACACUCUGCACUCAUUAUACACACUCUGCACUCAUUACAAACACACUACAUUCAUUAUACAUACUCUGCACUCGUUACAAACACACUACAUUCAUUAUACACACUCUGCACUCACCACACACACACUACAUUCAAUAUACACACUCUGCAUUCAUUAUACACACUCUGCACUCAUUACAAACACACUACAUUCAUUAUACACACUCUGCACUCACUACAAACACACUACAUUCACUACACACACUGCAUUCAUUAUACACACUCUGCACUCACUACACACACAGUACAUUUAUUAUACACACUGCACUCACUACAAACACAGUACAUUUAUUAUACACACUGCACUCACUACAAACACACUACAUUAAUUAUACAUACUCUGCACUCACUACAAACACACAACAUUCAUUAUACACACUCUGCACUCACCACACACACACUACAUUCAAUAUACACACUCUGCCUUCAUUAUACACACUCUGCACUCAUUACAAACACACUACAUUCAUUAUACAUACUCUGCACUCGUUACAAACACACUACAUUCAUUAUACACACUCUGCACUGCACUAUAUGCAUUGAAGUGUAAAUUUUGGUUCUUUUUUUUAGGGGACGGGGAGGAAUCUUGGGUGAGUUCCCACACCUUUUUCCCCAGAACUUGACCCCUGUUUAAAAGAAGAAAAACUACCACAGCAAGAGGACAUAGUCUUAAAUUAAGGUUUAAAAAUAAUAUCAGGAAGUAUUAGUUUACUGAGAGGGUAGUGGAUGCAUGGAAUAACCUUCCAGCUGAAGUGGUAGAGGUUAACACAGUGAGGGAGUUUAAGCAUGCGUGGGAUAGGCAUAAGG